UCAGCGGCAUGUCGCGAGGUUAACCCGUGUGGGGUAGCCGUAGGGAAACCGAAUCCUAAUGGGGUGUUUUUAGUGGCAUGUCCUGGACCCGAAGCGGGGUGAUCUACCCAUGGCCAGUGUGAAGCAGCAGUAAGAUGCUGUGGAGGCGCGAACCCACGUAGGUUGAAAACUGCGGGGAUGAGUUGUGGGUAGGGGUGAAAGGCCAAUCAAACUCCGUGAUAGCUGGUUCUCCCCGAAAUGCAUUUAGGUGCAGCGUCGCAUUAGCUUGGUGGAGGUAGAGCUACUGGUUGGUUGAGCGGGACUACAAUCUUAGCAAUGUCAGCCAAACUCCGAAUGCCAUUAAUGUGUUGUGCGGCAGUGAGACUGUGGGGGAUAAGCUUCAUAGUCGAGAGGGAAACAGCCCAGAUCGCCGGUUAAGGCCCCUAAGGGUGUGCUAAGUGGAAAAGGAUGUGGGAUCGCGAAGACAGCCAGGAGGUUGGCUUAGAAGCAGCCAUCCUUGAAAGAGUGCGUAAUAGCUCACUGGUCGAGUGGUUCUGCGCCGACAAUGUAGUGGGGCUCAAGCACACCGCCGAAGCCGCGGCAUAUAUGCACUUUGUGUGUGUAUGGGUAGGGGAGCGUCGUGCAUGCGUUGAAGCGUUACCGUGAGGAGGCGUGGAGUGUGUGCGAGUGAGAAUGCAGGCAUGAGUAACGAAUUGAUAGGUGAGAAUCCUAUCCGCCGGAUGACUAAGGGUUCCUGGGUCAAGUUCGUCUUCCCAGGGUGAGUCG
Molecule: ribosomal RNA, 765 nt
Filed under: Corynebacterium flavescens
Lineage: Bacteria; Bacillati; Actinomycetota; Actinomycetes; Mycobacteriales; Corynebacteriaceae
Description: partial 23S ribosomal RNA
Rfam family: Bacterial large subunit ribosomal RNA
Source: RNAcentral